Molecule: ribosomal RNA, 401 nt
Filed under: uncultured bacterium
Lineage: Bacteria
Description: partial 16S ribosomal RNA
Rfam family: Archaeal small subunit ribosomal RNA
Source: RNAcentral
ACACCGGCAGCUCUAGUGGUAGCAACUUUUAUUGGGCCUAAAGCGUCCGUAGCCGGUUUAAUAAGUCUCUGGUGAAAUCCUGUAGCUUAACUGUGGGAUUUGCUGGAGAUACUAUUAGACUUGAGACCGGGAGAGGUUGGAGGUACUCCCAGGGUAGAGGUGAAAUUCUGUAAUCCUGGGAGGACCGCCUGUUGCGAAGGCGACGCACUGGAACGGUUCAGACGGUGAGGGAAGAAAGGUAGGGGCGCGUACCAGAUUGGAUACCCGGGAAUUGCUAACGGGAAACGAGGCGAACAUGACGUUGGGGAGGCUUUGAACUGUCUCAGUGCCGAAGAGAAGGUGUUAAGUCCGCCGCCUGGGGAGUACGGUCGCAAGGCUGAAACUUAAAUGAAUUGGCGGGG